RNAcentral lists this ribosomal RNA (998 nucleotides) under uncultured bacterium. RNAcentral describes it as "bacterial SSU rRNA". It matches the Rfam family "Bacterial small subunit ribosomal RNA", at positions 505 to 1501 of the family's 1533-position model. The record is from RNAcentral.
GUGCCAGCCGCCGCGGUAAUACGGAGGGUGCAAGCGUUAAUCGGAAUUACUGGGCGUAAAGCGUGCGUAGGCGGUUUGCUAAGUCAGAUGUGAAAGCCCCGGGCUUAACCUGGGAACGGCAUUUGAAACUGGUUAACUUGAGUUUAGUAGAGGGGAGUGGAAUUUCAGGUGUAGCGGUGAAAUGCGUAGAUAUCUGAAGGAACACCAGUGGCGAAGGCGACUCCCUGGACUAGAACUGACGCUGAGGUACGAAAGCGUGGGUAGCAAACAGGAUUAGAUACCCUGGUAGUCCACGCCCUAAACUAUGUCAACUGGUUGUUGGGGGUUUGACACUCUCAGUAACGAAGCUAACGCGUGAAGUUGACCGCCUGGGGAGUACGGCCGCAAGGUUAAAACUCAAAGGAAUUGACGGGGACCCGCACAAGCGGUGGAUUAUGUGGAUUAAUUCGAUGCAACGCGAAAAACCUUACCUACCCUUGACAUGUCCUGAAGCCUGGAGAGAUCCGGGUGUGCCCGAAAGGGAACGGGAACACAGGUGCUGCAUGGCUGUCGUCAGCUCGUGUCGUGAGAUGUUGGGUUAAGUCCCGCAACGAGCGCAACCCUUGUCAUUAGUUGCUACAUUUAGUUGGGCACUCUAAUGAGACUGCCGGUGACAAACCGGAGGAAGGUGGGGAUGACGUCAAGUCCUCAUGGCCCUUAUGGGUAGGGCUUCACACGUAAUACAAUGGCGCGUACAGAGGGUUGCCAAGCCGCGAGGUGGAGCCAAUCCCAGAAAGCGCGUCGUAGUCCGGAUUGCAGUCUGCAACUCGACUGCAUGAAGUCGGAAUCGCUAGUAAUCGCGGAUCAGCAUGUCGCGGUGAAUACGUUCCCGGGUCUUGUACACACCGCCCGUCACACCAUGGGAGCGGGUUUCACCAGAAGCCGGGUCGCCUAACCGCAAGGGGGGCGGCCGACCACGGUGAGAUUCGUGACUGGGGUGAAGUCGUAACAAGGUAACC